RNAcentral lists this ribosomal RNA (216 nucleotides) under Glomeromycotina sp. Its description in RNAcentral is "partial small subunit ribosomal RNA". The stretch from base 40 to 216 matches the Rfam family "Eukaryotic small subunit ribosomal RNA", at positions 686 to 864 of the family's 1831-position model. The record is from RNAcentral. Lineage: Eukaryota; Fungi; Glomeromycota.
GGGUCAGGAGGUUGGUCGUGCCACCGGUACGUACUGGUCUCACUGAUUCCUCCUUCCUGAAGAACCGUAAUGCCAUUAAUUUGGUGUUGCGGGGAAACAGGACUGUUACUUUGAAAAAAUUAGAGUGUUUAAAGCAAGCUAACGCUUGAAUACAUUAGCAUGGAAUAAUGAAAUAGGACGAUCGAUCCCAUUUUGUUGGUUUCUAGGAUUGACGUA